GAUGAAGAACGUAGCGAACGUGCGAAACGUAAUGUGAAUUGCAGAAUUCAGUGAAUCAUCGAAUCUUUGAACGCAUCUUGCGCUCCUUGGUAUUCCGAGGAGCAUGCCUGUUUGAGUGUCGUGAAAUACUCUCAAUUUCAAUCUUUUUGUUUGAAAUUGGAUUUGGAUGUUGUUGUGGAUCUUGCUACGACUCAUCCUAAAUGCAUUAGCGAUCUGCCUUGAUCACACACAAUGUGAUAAGAUGAGCAUUGUUAUAAUCAAGUCAUGACUGCUUCUAACCGUCCCUUUGGGACAAACGUCUUAUGUCGUUUGACCUCAAAUCAGGUAGGACUACCCGCUGAACUUAAGCAUAUCAAUAAGCGGAGGA
This 367-nucleotide unclassified non-coding RNA is filed under the name soil metagenome. RNAcentral's name for it is "partial contains 5.8S ribosomal RNA, internal transcribed spacer 2, and large subunit ribosomal RNA". The stretch from base 1 to 121 matches the Rfam family "5.8S ribosomal RNA", at positions 35 to 154 of the family's 154-position model. The record is from RNAcentral.